RNAcentral lists this ribosomal RNA (520 nucleotides) under uncultured Scutellospora. RNAcentral describes it as "SSU rRNA". It matches the Rfam family "Eukaryotic small subunit ribosomal RNA", at positions 569 to 1091 of the family's 1831-position model. Lineage: Eukaryota; Fungi; Glomeromycota; Glomeromycetes; Diversisporales; Gigasporaceae. The record is from RNAcentral.
AGCAGCCGCGGUAAUUCCAGCUCCAAUAGCGUAUAUUAAAGUUGUUGCAGUUAAAAAGCUCGUAGUUGAAUUUCGGGGUUCUACCGUUGGUCGGGCUAACCAGUCUGUACUAGCGUGUAGAAUUCCUACCUUCUGGGGAACCAUCAUGUUAUUAAUUUAGCGUGGUGGGAAACCAGGACCUUUACCUUGAAAAAAUUAGAGUGUUCAAAGCAGGCUUACGUCUGAAUACAUUAGCAUGGAAUAAUAAAAUAGGACGGUGGUCCUGUUUUGUUGGUUUCUGAAUCACCGUAAUGAUUAAUAGGGAUAGUUGGGGGCAUUAGUAUUCAAUUGUCAGAGGUGAAAUUCUUGGAUUUAUUGAAGACUAACUUCUGCGAAAGCAUUUGCCAAGGAUGUUUUCAUUAAUCAAGAACGAAAGUUAGGGGAUCGAAGACGAUCAGAUACCGUCGUAGUCUUAACCAUAAACUAUGCCGACUAGGGAUCGGACGAUGUUAAAUUUUAUUGACUCGUUUCGGCGCCUUAC